AUUGAACGCUGGCGGCAGGCUUAACACAUGCAAGUCGAGCGGGGGAAGGUAGCUUGCUACCGGACCUAGCGGCGGACGGGUGAGUAAUGCUUAGGAAUCUGCCUAUUAGUGGGUGACAACAUCUCGAAAGGGAUGCUAAUACCGCAUACGUCCUACGGGAGAAAGCAGGGGACCUUCGGACCUUGCGCUAAUAGAUGAGCCUAAGUCGGAUUAGCUAGUUGGUGGGGUAAAGGCCUACCAAGGCGACGAUCUGUAGCGGGUCUGAGAGGAUGAUCCGCCACACUGGGACUGAGACACGGCCCAGACUCCUACGGGAGGCAGCAGUGGGGAAUAUUGGACAAUGGGGGGAACCCUGAUCCAGCCAUGCCGCGUGUGUGAAGAAGGCCUUAUGGUUGUAAAGCACUUUAAGCGAGGAGGAGGCUACUCUAGUUAAUACCUAGGGAUAGUGGACGUUACUCGCAGAAUAAGCACCGGCUAACUCUGUGCCAGCAGCCGCCGUAA
This 501-nucleotide ribosomal RNA is filed under the name uncultured bacterium. RNAcentral describes it as "partial 16S ribosomal RNA". It matches the Rfam family "Bacterial small subunit ribosomal RNA", at positions 30 to 523 of the family's 1533-position model. The record is from RNAcentral.